This 326-nucleotide ribosomal RNA is filed under the name uncultured eukaryote. Its description in RNAcentral is "partial 18S ribosomal RNA". It matches the Rfam family "Eukaryotic small subunit ribosomal RNA", at positions 1470 to 1796 of the family's 1831-position model. The record is from RNAcentral.
CCCUUAGAUGUUCUGGGCCGCACGCGCGCUACACUGAUGCAUUCAACAAGCCUAGCCGUGACCGAGAGGUCCGGGUAAUCUUUGAAACUGCAUCGUGAUGGGGCUAGAUUAUUGCAAUUAUUAAUCUUCAACGAGGAAUGCCUAGUAAGCGUGAUUCAUCAAAUCGCGUUGAUUACGUCCCUGCCCUUUGUACACACCGCCCGUCGCUCCUACCGAUUGAAUGUGUUGGUGAGGAGCUCGGAUUGGCAGCAGUUGGUGGUUCGCCACCGGCUAUUGCUGAGAAGUCCUCCAAACCGCCCCAUUUAGAGGAAGGAGAAGUCGUAACA